GAUCCUGGCUCAGAUUGAACGCUGGCGGCAUGCCUUACACAUGCAAGUCGAACGGUAGAGGGGGCAACCCCUUGAGAGUGGCGAACGGGUGAGUAAUAUAUCGGAACGUGCCCAGUCGUGGGGGAUAACGUAGCGAAAGUUACGCUAAUACCGCAUACGAUCUACGGAUGAAAGCGGGGGAUCGCAAGACCUCGCGCGAUUGGAGCGGCCGAUAUCAGGUUAGGUAGUUGGUGGGGUAAAGGCUCACCAAGCCAACGAUCUGUAGCUGGUCUGAGAGGACGACCAGCCACACUGGAACUGAGACACGGUCCAGACUCCUACGGGAGGCAGCAGUGGGGAAUUUUGGACAAUGGACGCAAGUCUGAUCCAGCCAUUCCGCGUGCAGGAUGAAGGCCCUCGGGUUGUAAACUGCUUUUGUACGGAACGAAAAGGUUUCUAUUAAUACUAGGAGCUCAUGACGGUACCGUAAGAAUAAGCACCGGCUAACUACGUG
RNAcentral lists this ribosomal RNA (493 nucleotides) under uncultured bacterium. RNAcentral's name for it is "bacterial SSU rRNA". It matches the Rfam family "Bacterial small subunit ribosomal RNA", at positions 15 to 507 of the family's 1533-position model. The record is from RNAcentral.